UCCUACGGGACGCAGCAGUGGGGGAUAUUGCACAAUGGGGGAAACCCUGAUGCAGCGACGCCGCGUGUGGGAAGACGGUCUUCUGGAUUGUAAACCACUGUCCCCAGGGACGAAAAAGACGGUACCUGAGGAAUAAGCCACGGCUAACUACGUGCCAGCAGCCGCGGUAAUACGUAGGUGGCAAGCGUUAUCCGGAUUUAUUGGGUGUAAAGGGCGUGUAGGCGGGAGCGCAAGUCAGAUGUGAAAACUCAGGGCUCAACCCUGAGCCUGCAUUUGAAACUGUGUUUCUUGAGUGCUGGAGAGGC
This 305-nucleotide ribosomal RNA is filed under the name uncultured bacterium. RNAcentral's name for it is "bacterial SSU rRNA". It matches the Rfam family "Bacterial small subunit ribosomal RNA", at positions 337 to 658 of the family's 1533-position model. The record is from RNAcentral.